This 460-nucleotide ribosomal RNA is filed under the name uncultured bacterium. Its description in RNAcentral is "partial 16S ribosomal RNA". It matches the Rfam family "Bacterial small subunit ribosomal RNA", at positions 338 to 795 of the family's 1533-position model. The record is from RNAcentral.
CCUACGGGAGGCUGCAGUGAGGAAUAUUGGUCAAUGGACGAGAGUCUGAACCAGCCAAGUAGCGUGAAGGAUGACUGCCCUAUGGGUUGUAAACUUCUUUUAUAAAGGAAUAAAACGAGGCACGUGUGCCUUUUUGCAUGUACUUUAUGAAUAAGGAUCGGCUAACUCCGUGUCAGCAGCCGCGGUAAUACGGAGGAUCCGAGCGUUAUCCGGAUUUAUUGGGUUUAAAGGGAGGGUAGGUGGGUUGUUAAGUCAGUUGUGAAAGUUUGCGGCUCAAACGUAAAAUUGCAAUUGAUACUGGGAGUCUUGAGUGCAGUUGAGGUAGGCGGAAUUCGUGGUGUAGCGGUGAAAUGCGUAGAUAUCACGAAGAACCCCGAUUGCGAAGGCAGCUUACUAAACUGUGACUGACAUUGAUGCUCGAAAGUGUGGGUAUCAAACAGGAUUAGAUACCCCUGUAGUC